CGCUGCAGAAUGCUGAGUUCCGUCUGGGUGGACGGGAGCGGGGAAACCAAUUUGUAGGGGCGUAUCGCCGGAAUACCGGCGUAGGGCAAACUCUUCGGCCCGAGCCCGUCAGCUAACCUCGUAAGCACCGAAGGGAAAGCAC
RNAcentral lists this small RNA (142 nucleotides) under Desulfopila aestuarii. Its description in RNAcentral is "c-di-AMP sequence". It matches the Rfam family "c-di-AMP riboswitch aptamer (ydaO/yuaA leader)". Rfam says of the family: This family represents a conserved RNA structure found upstream of the ydaO and yuaA genes in Bacillus subtilis and related genes in other bacteria. The ydaO/yuaA element is thought to act as a genetic "off" switch for the ydaO and yuaA genes in its native state. The record is from RNAcentral. RNAcentral also lists the same sequence under 1 other name. Lineage: Bacteria; Pseudomonadati; Thermodesulfobacteriota; Desulfobulbia; Desulfobulbales; Desulfocapsaceae.